UACGGGGGGGGCAAGCGUUGUUCGGAAUUACUGGGCGUAAAGGGCUCGUAGGCGGCCAACUAAGUCAAACGUGAAAUCCCCAGGCUCAACCUGGGAACUGCAUCCGAUACUGGAUGGCUUGAAUUCGGGAGAGGGAUGCAGAAUUCCAGGUGUAGCGGUGAAAUGCGUAGAUAUCUGGAGGAAUACCGGUGGCGAAGGCGGCAUCCUGGACCGACAUUGACGCUGAGGAGCGAAAGCCAGGGGAGCAAACGGG
RNAcentral lists this ribosomal RNA (253 nucleotides) under uncultured bacterium. RNAcentral's name for it is "partial 16S ribosomal RNA". It matches the Rfam family "Bacterial small subunit ribosomal RNA", at positions 524 to 776 of the family's 1533-position model. The record is from RNAcentral.